This 71-nucleotide transfer RNA is filed under the name Bos taurus (domestic cattle). It matches the Rfam family "tRNA". Rfam says of the family: Transfer RNA (tRNA) molecules are approximately 80 nucleotides in length. Their secondary structure includes four short double-helical elements and three loops (D, anti-codon, and T loops). The record is from Rfam by way of RNAcentral. RNAcentral also lists the same sequence under 2 other names. Lineage: Eukaryota; Metazoa; Chordata; Mammalia; Artiodactyla; Bovidae.
CUCUGGUAGUUCAUACAGUAAAGAAUCUGCCUGCAACGCAGGAGACCCAGGUUCGAUCCCUGGAUCAGGAA